Molecule: ribosomal RNA, 490 nt
Filed under: uncultured bacterium
Lineage: Bacteria
Description: partial 16S ribosomal RNA
Rfam family: Bacterial small subunit ribosomal RNA
Source: RNAcentral
AUUGAACGCUGGCGGCAUGCCUUACACAUGCAAGUCGAACGGCAGCAUGAUCUAGCUUGCUAGAUUGAUUGCGAGUGGCGAACGGGUGAGUAAUACAUCGGAACGUGCCCUGUAGUGGGGGAUAACUAGUCGAAAGAUUAGCUAAUACCGCAUACGACCUGAGGGUGAAAGUGGGGGACCGCAAGGCCUCAUGCUAUAGGAGCGGCCGAUGUCUGAUUAGCUAGUUGGUGAGGUAAAGGCUCACCAAGGCGACGAUCAGUAGCUGGUCUGAGAGGACGAUCGGCCACACUGGGACUGAGACACGGCCCAGACUCCUACGGGAGGCAGCAGUGGGGAAUUUUGGACAAUGGGCGAAAGCCUGAUCCAGCAAUGCCGCGUGUGUGAAGAAGGCCUUCGGGUUGUAAAGCACUUUUGUCCGGAAAGAAAUGGCUCUGGUUAAUACCUGGGGUCGAUGACGGUACCGGAAGAAUAAGGACCGGCUAACUACGUG